UUUGAAAAUAUUUAUAACUAAAAUUUUCCUCCAAUAAUUUAUUUUACUCGUUAAUUAAAAAGCACAUGCCUAAUGUACAUAUCUAUAUAUGCAUGUAUAUAUGUAUAUGUUUCGUGCAUGCAUAAUACAUAUUUACAUAUUUACAGCUAACAUUUAACCACAUGAAACAAGCAAAUGUGCGCUCAAAGUCGUGUUUAUGCAACCGAUCGGCAUUUAAUGCCAUAUAAGUGAAAUCGCCAGCAAUGCAGCAUGCAUUAUGCGUCAACUGUCCGUCUGUCGACUGCCGCUAUAGCGAGCGCCUAUCUGGCGAACAAAUAAUCACUUUGCACAAUCGCACGCGACAAAGCGCGACAUAGAAGAUAGAUAAGGUAUUGUGAUUGUUUGCCUUGGGAGAAUGUUUAACCUUCAAACCAAUAAAUACACUAGAUCUGUGUAAUAGAAUGUGAACUUGGCUUACCAUUUUCAGCGGUGUAACCCCAGUGGUGUGAGCUCAUUUUUCCGACGUUUCGAGGGUGGAACUUUUUUUUUAUUUAACUAAACUGCCGUAAAUAUUAGUACUCUGUAAGGAAACAGACACUUUCUCAGCAAAAACAAUCAAACAAAUCACUUCUACAAUAUCAACAACCGCAAUCAACCGCAAUAAAUAACAAUAAUAGUACAAAUAGUUACGCCGGGCAAACGAAAAAUAAAAACGUUUUAGAGAAAAAAACAAAACUGGGAGCAGUUGUUGUUUGAUAUUUUGUUUCUUUUCACGACGACGGAUGAGAUGUUGUUUAUUUGAGAGCAGCAACAAGUGAAUUGAAUUGAAUUGCUUGAUUUCAGUUAGCUUUAAUACCGCUUAAUAGACUCUUACGAGUAUUUAGGUGGCGUCGUGUGAUCAAUGGAAAGUACAAGUAGAAGUAGAGAGCCGCGUUUACGUUUCGUUGAGCGACGGAACACAAUGUGCUAAAACGUCUCACACGUUUGUCUGCCUAAAGAAGACUGUGCUGAUUGUUGAGGGUUGUGUGCCGUUGUCUGCUUGCCGAUAUGAAUUAAAAAACUAAGUCAGUCACAUACAUCCAGUCAGUCAGCCAAUCGGCUAGCCUGCUAGUCAGAUAGUCUGGCGUUCGUUUGGGCGCGCUGGAAUAUUGAACAUAUGUAUGCGGAAAUGCGGGCGAAUAACCGAAUGACUGCUCUUACCCUCGGCGAGCAUGAAACAAACGUGCUGCGCAACGCGCAGUAGCAGCGACAGUGUUUCGGAAACGCAUCGCAUACGCUUUCGUGUCGUGGGAAGAAGCGUUGGACACGAGACAGCGUAAGUCUCAACGAGAGCAAAAGCUAGCAGUUAAAAGUGUGCUUCUGCAUUGAAGAACUUCGGUUACGAACGAAAUCGACUUGUUUGUUGACAGCAGCGCGUCGGAACGCAAUCGUAAUUAUACCAUUUACGCAUUACAUAAAGCUUAAUACAUCUCAUAACCGCUGUUGUUGUACGUCAUACCAUGAAUGAAGUAAACAGAGCGCGCAGUAUGUUGUAUUAACAUUAAAGGACAAACUUCUAAGUUCAAUCCUUGGCGAAUAUAUCCACUUGUGAAUUUCAAAAUAUCAAAUUUUUUUUUUGUUAAUAUGCAAGUUGAAUGUACAGAUAUUUGGAAAAUUCUAAGAAAAGCAAAUAAAUUUUAAGUUUAUCCGGCGAA
Bactrocera oleae (olive fruit fly) is the source of this 1673-nucleotide long non-coding RNA. RefSeq lists it as uncharacterized. NCBI's taxonomy places the organism in Eukaryota, Metazoa, Arthropoda, Insecta, Diptera, Tephritidae. The record is from RefSeq and is a predicted model, not a curated record.